RNAcentral lists this ribosomal RNA (792 nucleotides) under Bursaphelenchus masseyi. Its description in RNAcentral is "eukaryotic LSU rRNA". It matches the Rfam family "Eukaryotic large subunit ribosomal RNA", at positions 336 to 965 of the family's 3401-position model. The record is from RNAcentral. Lineage: Eukaryota; Metazoa; Nematoda; Chromadorea; Rhabditida; Aphelenchoididae.
AUUCGAUUACAAGUACCGUGAGGGAAAGUUGAAAAGUACUUUGAAAAGAGAGUGCAAGAGAACGUGAAACCGGUAUAAUGGAAGCGAAUGGAGUUGACGUAUCUAUUGGGUAUUCAGCCCGUUGGCGUUUCGAUUGAGUUGGCGUGUUUUUGCAAAAUGCGCGUCCGCUUACUGUCGAUUCGUCGUUGGGUGUAUUUGCUCAAGGAGUGCGCCGAGUUGUGUGGUGUUGUCGAAUGAAGCGCGUUUAGAGGAUCCGGCUUUCGGGCCGGGAAACCUGAGCGUGUCGAGUUCGGUCGACGCUGCGCAGCUUUGUGGAGACGCGGGUUCGCGCGUGCAGUGGUGUUGGUUCGACGGGUUCGCGUGGUGCACAUGUGUACAGCGCUUAUGCGGCGGGUCAAUGUUGUUGUGUGCUCUGCGUUCUUCUCGGCGUAUAGUCGAUCACCCAUUCGACCCGUCUUGAAACACGGACCAAGGAGUUUAUGGUAUGCGCGAGUUAUUGAGUUUCACGAAGCUCAAAAGCACAAUGAAAGUAAGACAGUAUUGUAUUUAACGUGAUUGGGUGCGGCAUUCGUGCGGCCCAAGCAACGUUGCCCCGUUUCGAGGACUUGUCCUGUUGCGGAGGUUGAGCGCAUGCUAUGAGACCCGAAAGAUGGUGAACUAUGCCUGAACAGGACGAAGCCAGAGGAAACUCUGGUGGAAGUCCGAAGCGGUUCUGACGUGCAAAUCGAUCGUCUGAUUUUGGUAUAGGGGCGCAAGACUAAUCGAACCAUCUAGUAGCUGGUUCCUUCCGAA